RNAcentral lists this ribosomal RNA (250 nucleotides) under uncultured prokaryote. RNAcentral's name for it is "partial 16S ribosomal RNA". It matches the Rfam family "Bacterial small subunit ribosomal RNA", at positions 524 to 773 of the family's 1533-position model. The record is from RNAcentral.
UACGGAAGGUCCGGGCGUUAUCCGGAUUUAUUGGGUUUAAAGGGAGCGCAGGCCGUUUGGUAAGCGUGUUGUGAAAUGUCCGGGCUCAACCUGGGCACUGCAGCGCGAACUGCCAGACUUGAGUGCACAGGAAGCGGGCGGAAUUCGUGGUGUAGCGGUGAAAUGCUUAGAUAUCACGAAGAACUCCAAUUGCGAAGGCAGCUCGCUGUAGUGUUACUGACGCUAAAGCUCGAAAGUGCGGGUAUCGAAC